RNAcentral lists this long non-coding RNA (722 nucleotides) under Homo sapiens (human). RNAcentral's name for it is "HSALNT0402398". Lineage: Eukaryota; Metazoa; Chordata; Mammalia; Primates; Hominidae. The record is from RNAcentral.
UUCGCCCGGGCGCUGCCCUCUGCCUGCUGUCCCCUGUGCUCCUGUUCCCCGUGGCUGCCCAGGGACAGCUUUUCACACUCUCUGUUGCCCUUGUCCUUGGGCAUCUCAGUGACUCGAAGGAAUUGGGUCUUGAGACACAGCCGAGCCUGUGAGCGCUGACCUGUGUAAAGAAGACACCAGAAUGAGAUGUCUCCACACACAGAGAGCUGCAGCCGAUGCCGGCCGGUGACUUGGGACUUGGAUGCUUAACAGGAGGCUCCCCCUCUCUUGGGAGGUAGAGAGCAGUGAGGAAGGGGACUCAGCCUCCAUGCCUCCCGCCAGCCCAGCUGCGCCCGAAUCACCUCCCUCCUGAAAGGAUGUCAGCCUCUGCUUGGACACCGUGGAGACAGGGCCCUCCUUGUGCUUCAGAAGCAUCAACGUGUCAGAAAAUCAUCUUCACGCCAAGUCUGGAAAAAAUGGCUUUGAGGUUGUGCACACAAAGGAAGGAGGGAGAGCCCCAGGUGUCGCGGAGGACCAUGCGGCUGACAGAGCCAGCAGGGCGGUGGCGUGUGAGCCGUGCUCUGGAUAUAUAAGGAUCUGACGCUGCUGGCAAUGUCUGAGCUCUAUGCUCGCCCAUCUGUCGGCUGCUAUCAUCACCGGGUGGGAUUAGCGGAGAUCCACUCUUUCAUAUUUAAAUCUUCACAAGAGAAUGAAUCACUUUUAUAAUAAAAGAAAAAGACCGU